Molecule: unclassified non-coding RNA, 259 nt
Filed under: uncultured fungus
Lineage: Eukaryota; Fungi
Description: sequence contains 5.8S rRNA gene
Rfam family: 5.8S ribosomal RNA (bases 1-53)
Source: RNAcentral
GAACGCACAUUGCGCCCCUUGGUAUUCCGGGGGGCAUGCCUGUUCGAGCGUCAUUACACCAAUCAAGCACAGCUUGGCAUUAGGUCUCUCGUCCGCGGUCAAACGCGGGCGGACCUCAAAAACUUCGGCGGAGUCAAUCCGGCUUCGGGCGUAGCAGAAUCUGUCAAAACGUCCGUGUGGCCGGGGGGAUUACAGCCGUCAAACCUCAUUUUUAUCAAGGUUGACCUCGGAUCAGGUAGGAAUACCCGCUGAACUUAAG